CCCAAUUCCUUAUCAUCUACCACAUGGCCAAGAUGGCUGUGGUCAGAUUUAGUAUCAUUUCAGUAGGACCAUUCACUACUAAAUCUCUUGAAAGAACAGGCUCUACCCAAGAGGAUCUGCAUGGGCUCCUUAUGGGAUUGUAAGGCAGCUUGGAUGGUACUUUUCAUAUUAGUAGUACCAUUUCUAGGCAUGACAUUUCAUAGCUACCCAUACUCCACAUGUACCUUCUGCAGAUAUUUCUGAUGCUCAAAUAUCCAGUGCUUUUUAUCAUCCAAUCUUCUCCUCUUUCUUGUGCUUCAUAUUGUAGAACUGUAUUCCCAUGGAAAAUUUUGUACUUCACUGUAUUCUACGUGCCUAGCAAAGCACAUGGGGUCUUUUUUUUUUUUUUAACCCCUGGAUAUAUUUCUGAUAUUUGCUCACUGAGUUGUCUUUGAGGAAAACUUUUCAAUGUGUUUUCCUGUUUUUCUUUUGUUCAUUCAGAUCUGGGUGUGUAAAAGAUGAUGUGUAGGCUCUGACGACCUCUUUGGAUAUAAAAUACCUCUACAGAGCCUUCGCACCUGUACCCUAGAAGUUUCUAGAAUUUCAACAAGUAAAGUAUGUCUUACUGAAUUGUUCUUUAUAGAACAACAAGUAAAAUUUGAAAAGAUCACACAGGAUUUAUAAAUGAAUAAGUUUCAAAUAAGCAGUGGAGGAAGGAAGAGAAGAAAAAGCAAGUGGAAAUUGGGUGAGGUCUUUUCUUAGACUCAUGAAGCUAGCUUCCUUCUUCCUGCCUUCCCUCUCUUCUUCUCUUCAUUCUUUUCUCUCCUGCCUCUUUUCUUCCUUCUUCCCUUCCAUUUGGAAAAAAAUAGAUUUUGUUAGAUUUUAUUCUGUUAUGCAAGUCAGAAACUAGGCAGAAGAGGAAGAGCAGGGGUAAGGAUUCAGAAAAUGUAGAUUCCUAGUGUUUCAUAGCUGAUUGUCCUAUUCACUUGUUUAGUUUGUAACCUUGGACAAGUUUCUCAAAUGUCUUGAAACUUCUCUGUUAAAGCAAGUAGACAAUAAUAAUACUUUCCUAAAUUUGAGGUUUUAGAUUAGCUAGCUCAUGUUUUUAAAAUUAGCAGAAUGUCCAGUACAUGGUCAAUGUUAGAUCUUAAAUAAUGAAAAGCAUUAUAAACUAUAAGUAGACAUGAUUGCACUAUUCAAUUAUUGUUGAUCCUCAACAAUAAUUAAAUGGAUAUAAAUGUAUAAAAAGUGUU
Long non-coding RNA from Perognathus longimembris pacificus (Pacific pocket mouse), 1232 nucleotides. RefSeq lists it as uncharacterized. The record is from RefSeq and is a predicted model, not a curated record. The transcript is spliced from 3 exons. NCBI's taxonomy places the organism in Eukaryota, Metazoa, Chordata, Mammalia, Rodentia, Heteromyidae.